AAGUCGUAACAAGGUUUCCGUAGGUGAACCUGCGGAAGGAUCAUUACUGAGAUAGGGUCCUUUGGGGCCCGACCUCCAACCCUUUGUCUAUCUUACCACUGUUGCCUCGGCGGGUCGUCGGCGCCUAUCACUAGGUGCCGCCGUCGGCCUCGUGCUCUCGAGUACCCGCCAUCAGGCCCCCUAAACCCUCUUAAACCAUAGCAAUCUGAGAGUAAACUUAACACUUAAAACUUUCAACAACGGAUCUCUUGGUUCUG
RNAcentral lists this unclassified non-coding RNA (257 nucleotides) under air metagenome. RNAcentral describes it as "partial contains small subunit ribosomal RNA, internal transcribed spacer 1, and 5.8S ribosomal RNA". The stretch from base 1 to 46 matches the Rfam family "Eukaryotic small subunit ribosomal RNA", at positions 1786 to 1831 of the family's 1831-position model. The record is from RNAcentral.